Long non-coding RNA from Cyprinus carpio (common carp), 109 nucleotides. The record is from Ensembl. Lineage: Eukaryota; Metazoa; Chordata; Actinopteri; Cypriniformes; Cyprinidae.
UCUUAAUGAAUCAGUUUUCGCCGCUCGAUGCCAUGGCGUUCAACUACUGCCCUCAAAUUGUUUGAUGUCAAUGGACACAAAAUGUUUGAAAGUUGUGAAUUAAAUCAAG